Molecule: long non-coding RNA, 202 nt
Filed under: Elaeis guineensis (African oil palm)
Lineage: Eukaryota; Viridiplantae; Streptophyta; Magnoliopsida; Arecales; Arecaceae
Description: long non-coding RNA (EGUI_LNC024115)
Source: RNAcentral
ACCCCUUCACUAAAGCUCUGGCAAUAAAGGAGUUCGACAACCACAAGUCAAAGAUGGGUAUUAGAUACUGUGCCAAGUGGCUUUACGACAAGUGGAAGUUGUUGAAAAAUAUGUCUCAAAAGUCAAUCGUCAACCUAUUGAUGGUUGAGUAACUUUGUAUUAUAAUUGAUUUAUUAAUAAAUAAAAUAUAUUUUUGGUAAUU